This is a non-coding RNA of Penaeus vannamei (Pacific white shrimp), 497 nucleotides long. Lineage: Eukaryota; Metazoa; Arthropoda; Malacostraca; Decapoda; Penaeidae. The record is from RefSeq and is a predicted model, not a curated record.
UGUAUGAACCAGUAAAAUAGCAGUUCAUUUGCCAGAUUUGCAAUAUUUGUUUGGAUUGAAAUAAUCAGGAGAAAUUCAAUCCAACUCAUAUUUUGAACGUAUAUAACCAGAAUUUGUAACAAAUUGCACCACCAACGUAAAUAUUUAAGCGAUACCUAUAUUCCAACCCCGAAAAAUUACGGAAGUAAAAUGUUUGUUUAUUUUGAUGCAGACGAACACGGUCUCACGCAGCCCGUGUCGUAAUCGGGACUUUGGUUUUAAUGAUUUUAUUUAGAGGAAAUCAGAAUAUGCUUCGGAUGCAGAAGCUACACUUUUCUAUGUUACCAUCACUCUACUAACCCAGUGAUUUGUCUUCAUGCAUGGAUGCAAACAGACUAAUGAAAUUCAAAACCAAGAGAGAUUUUCCCAAAUUUAUUUGAUCUCCUGCUCUUCUCUUCUGAGGCAUGACUGUGAGCCUUUCAACAGCAGUGUCAAAAUUGGGCAUGGCAGCAACAAUG